RNAcentral lists this ribosomal RNA (253 nucleotides) under uncultured bacterium. Its description in RNAcentral is "partial 16S ribosomal RNA". It matches the Rfam family "Bacterial small subunit ribosomal RNA", at positions 524 to 776 of the family's 1533-position model. The record is from RNAcentral.
UACGUAGGGUGCGAGCGUUAAUCGGAAUUACUGGGCGUAAAGCGUGCGCAGGCGGUUCGUUGUGUCGGCGGUAAAAGCCCCGGGCUUAACCUGGGAAUGGCCGUUGAAACUGGCGAACUGGAGUGUGGCAGAGGGGGGUGGAAUUCCGCGUGUAGCAGUGAAAUGCGUAGAGAUGCGGAGGAACACCGAUGGCGAAGGCAGCCCCCUGGGCUAACACUGACGCUCAGGCACGAAAGCGUGGGGAGCAAACAGG